ACCAUUAAUUGGCAGAGCCAAUCGAGGGUGCCGGGACCGGUCAAGGAACAAAGUCCCCAUUCCCUUUCGCCAGACAUAGAACCAGACGCAGGGGCCAUGCGAAUGCAAUCUCACGCUCACCCACGCUCUUUCUCUCUCUCUCUUGUCCAGCGCUAAUGAGCGCACCGAGAGCAGCGCACACACUCACAUGUACUUUUGUAAUGAUCAGCGUGUGUGCGCGCAUUUUGCGUACCAAACAGCCUUGUUGUCAGAGCGAGCGAGAGAGAGAUACUUUCGAGCUUUGCUGUGUGGGGGUGCAAGUGCAGCGCACGUAAUGCCCCAUUGUCGGGAUGUCACUGCUUUCACAGUUGGCUUAGGAUCGACUCACCCAUGUUCAAUCACUGUUGACAUGGAACCCUGAUCCAGACCUCACAGCUCCAGGUUGGUUCACCAGAGUACUUGCUACUACCACCAAGAUCUGCACUACCGGCGGCUCCAGCCUGACUCACGUCUUGGCCUUCAACGCGCACCGGCACGCCACCCUACUCGUCGGGGCUUUGAGACUUAUAGUUCUGACUGAGUCGUACUGAAGCCUU
This 575-nucleotide ribosomal RNA is filed under the name Niphargus sp. ND823. RNAcentral's name for it is "partial large subunit ribosomal RNA". Lineage: Eukaryota; Metazoa; Arthropoda; Malacostraca; Amphipoda; Niphargidae. The record is from RNAcentral.